Long non-coding RNA from Oreochromis aureus, 655 nucleotides. RefSeq lists it as uncharacterized. The record is from RefSeq and is a predicted model, not a curated record. The transcript is spliced from 4 exons. Lineage: Eukaryota; Metazoa; Chordata; Actinopteri; Cichliformes; Cichlidae.
UUUUGAAAAUGGUCAACUCUAGAAGUGUGUUACUGCUGGUCUGCACAGUCUUGGUGGUUGGGGCCAUCUGUGGAUCAGACGUUUUAAACUUCUAAUCAGCUCGCCAAGAUGGAAAGAGACGACCGUGCUGCGUUGCAGUCACCAACCUCGAUAUGAGUGCUGAGGUGGUGGGGAAACAUAUCGUCAGCAGGCCGCAACACCACCCUGUGUGAAGGCUAUAAUUUUCAACACAGAACAUGGACCGCUUUGUGCUGAUCCAAACGCUCAGUGGGUCAAAGAUCUCAUUGCGAGCAUGACGAGGGUAUGAAGUACAAAGUGUGAGGUGAAGCAUCGCUGCCUGUCGGCUCAUCAGUAUCUCCUCAUGAAUUUUAUUCGAACUUUUCUUUGAAAUGUUUUUAUUACUUUACUCUUUUAAUUCUGUUCUUGUUCUUAUAUGACUUUAUAGUGACGACUAAUAAUGGACGUGAAUCUAUGCUUACACGAACCAACUGAUUUUCUUUUUUUUUUUAAGUUUAGUUACAUAUUUAGUUUCAAAUCUUCUUUUAUUCUUUAUUUUUUGCUUUUAUGAUUCCAUUUAUCUGUGUAUAUCAUGAUGUUUUGUAAAGCUGACUCUGACAAAUGAUAUCCAAAUGAACUUUGACCACCAGUCAUUCAA